UCCCUGUGCUACAGUAGGUUCUGGUGGAGACAGGGUCUCUAAAGGGGUAGUUUAUGGGUGGGCCCUAGUCCAGUAUGACUGGUGUCCUCAUAAGAAGAAGAGACUGAGACUCAGACGCACACAGAGGGAAGACCACGUGAAGACACAGGGAGAAGAUGGCCGUCGGCAAGCCAGAGAGGGAAGCCUCAAAAGAAACCAACCCUGCCCACGCCUUGACCUCAGAAUUCUGGCUUCCUGAGCUGUGAGAAUAUACAUUUCUGCCGUUGAAGCUAUCCAGCCCGUGGUACUUGGGUUGUGGCAGCCCGAGCAAACUAACACAAGUAGUUUGAGCUGUUGUCUGGUAUUUGCAGAGUUCCUUGGGUGCACCUGCUGUGUACUUUAAUCCCAAGCGUUCCCAUUGCCCCUGCUGACCUUCUGCCUGGCAGCCCCCCACCCCGCCUUGCCCAGCUCAUGCCUGCAGUGGCCUUGCUGGUCCCGCUACAGGCAUCCCUUCCUGAAGCCAGGGCUGGGUGUCCCUGCUGGGGCGUCAGGCAUCCUGCACCUGGUUCCACCUUUGAUUGGCAACCAGUCUUUGUGUCUCUCUGCUCCCUAGACUGUGAGCUCUUGCAGGGCAGGCAGAACCAGGUUCAUCUUCGCCUUCUCAUAGGUAAGCUCCUGGAACACAGUGCUGCUUGUUAAGUGCGUGCAGGAGGAGAGUACAGACCACCCCCAGAGAAGGCCGUUCAUGGAAAUGUAUCAAGGAUCAUCUAAAGCAGUAAACCCCUGUGUUGUUCAUGGUAUUUGUGUUUUUAAAAUUUUGUCAUGAAAUAUUGUGUAAAUUCUGAGGAGGGGAGGGAGAGGAAUAUCUGAUACUAAAAUUGCUUUGCAUUUUUUAGAGUAUUUUCCCUUAACACGAAAAGCAGAUGUCGCCACCAAUAUCCGCUCUUCCACUUCCCAAAAGAAAGUGCAGGAUUAAAUCCACUGAUAAUGCACAUAGGGUGUCUCCUUACGCAGGUAUUUGACAACUGACUGUUAGAUGAUGCCUUCAUUUAACAAAUACUUACUUAGAAAUGCCGACUCUGUAAUGGACAGCAAAGAUGGUGGUCAGGACAUCUCCCAGGAGGCCCCCAUUCUUGUAAGAGGAGAUGACAAGCAAGAAAGUAUCAGAUGGUGAUAUGUAUGUGUGAUGCAAAUUCUUAACACAGGCUCUGGGAUGGAGCAUGAAGGGGGUUCCUUUGGUUGGACAGUCAGGGAAGCCCUGUCUGAGGAGCUGCAUUCAAGCUGAAACCUGGUGACGAGAAGCAGACACGUGAACAUUGCUGGGAAGAGCAUUCCAGAUGGAGGGAUUAGACGUUGCGGAGGCCCGAGGAAGAAUAGAGGAGCAGAAGGGAGGCCCCUCCAGGGCGGCUGGAGGGGACGGGUGAGAGGGAAUACAGGCAGGGAGUGGGGGGAGGCAGGGACCAGAUGUUACAGAGUCUCCUGCAUCAAGUGAGGCUUUUAUUCUAAGGAUGGUGGAAAGUCAUGUAAGGGUUUUCAAAAGAGGAGCGGCACAAUCUGACUCAUACUUUUGGGAAGAUCACCUGGCUCCUGUGUGGGGAAUAGGUGUGUGUGAGGCGGGGAGGGCGAGAGUGAAAACAGGGACAUUGACUAGGAGGCUGCAGUAGCCCCAGCACCCAAUGGUAGGGCUUGCAAAGAAUCUGGAGAGAACUGGGCGGGUUCAGGGUAGUUGUGCAAGUGGAGGGGAGGGGAGGGAGGACUCUGGGUGGUUUUCAGGUUCGUGGCUGGAGCACCUCGGUGGAGGGCAGUGCCACUUACUGAGAAUCAGAAUCCUGAAGGAGGAGCAGAUGGGGGAUGAGAGUGCAGUGGGCAUCCAGGUACUUUUUAGAUUUCAGAUGCUUUUCUGCAUCUGGGAGGUAAUAUCUUAUGAGCAGAUGGACACAGGAGGCUGGGAGUCAGAGGAGAGGUGGGGGCUGGAAAACUAUGCCCCUCCCUGUGUCUAUCCAUCUAUCUCUCCCUCAGAGUCAAGGUCAUGAAUGCUAUUUAAGCCCACGGGCCGAAGGGGAUUACCUAGGCAGCCAGCAGAGAUGGAGAAGCUCGUGGGGCUGAUCCUUGCUGUGCUCCACAGUUUAGUGAUGCUUCAGGCUUGAGAUAUCGAGGCAAGGUCAAGGAAAAAAGAGCAACCAGAAAGGCAGGAGAAAGACCCAUGUGUGUGAUAUCAUGGAAGCUCCCUGGGAGAAGUGCGUCCAGAGGAAGGAACAGUGCCACGUGUUGCUGAAGGGUCAAGUAAGAGAAGACCGUUGGAUGGGGAAACGAAGAAGGUCAUGAAGAGCUCCAGGGAAUGAGAACUUUAUUGGAUUGGACCCUUGAUCGAAAAAGCCUUUCUUCCAUUUUUAACAUCAACCUGGGGAAUGGUCGAUUGAUUGCUAAACUUUGAAAAUCUGCUUUUUGUUGUGUAUGUAUGCCAUAGAAGGGCCCUCAUUAUCUGAGCAUGAAAAGCUACUUAAACAGAAUCUACUUCCAAUAGGGAAUGAAAUUUCGUGUUAAUUAAAUUAAAAAAAGUUUUUGAUUGGGACUUAACUAGAAAAAUGAAAGUAGAUAACAUGAAAAACUCUAAAUUUUUAAAAAUUUAAGG
Aethalodelphis obliquidens (Pacific white-sided dolphin) is the source of this 2611-nucleotide long non-coding RNA. RefSeq lists it as uncharacterized. The record is from RefSeq and is a predicted model, not a curated record. Lineage: Eukaryota; Metazoa; Chordata; Mammalia; Artiodactyla; Delphinidae. The transcript is spliced from 3 exons.